GACCUCAAAUCAGGCAGGAUUACCCGCUGAACUUAAGCAUAUCAAUAAGCGGAGGAAAAGAAACUAACAAGGAUUCCCCUAGUAGCGGCGAGCGAAGCGGGAAGAGCUCAAAUUUGUAAUCUGGCGCUUUCGGCGUCCGAGUUGUAAUCUCGAGAAGUGUUUUCCGCAUUGGACCGCACACAAGUCUGUUGGAAUACAGCGGCACAGUGGUGAGACCCCCGUACACGGUGCGGACGCCCAAUGCUUUGUGAUACACUUUCAAAGAGUCGAGUUGUUUGGGAAUGCAGCUCAAAUUGGGUGGUAAAUUCCAUCUAAAGCUAAAUAUUGGCGAGAGACCGAUAGCGAACAAGUACCGUGAGGGAAAGAUGAAAAGCACUUUGGAAAGAGAGUUAACAGUACGUGAAAUUGUUGGAAGGGAAACGC
RNAcentral lists this ribosomal RNA (423 nucleotides) under uncultured fungus. RNAcentral's name for it is "eukaryotic LSU rRNA". It matches the Rfam family "Eukaryotic large subunit ribosomal RNA", at positions 1 to 422 of the family's 3401-position model. The record is from RNAcentral. Lineage: Eukaryota; Fungi.